AUUGAACGCUGGCGGCAUGCCUUACACAUGCAAGUCGAACGGUAACGGGCCUUCGGGUGCCGACGAGUGGCGCACGGGUGAGUAAUACAUCGGAACGUGCCCGAUCUUGGGGGAUAACGAGGCGAAAGCUUUGCUAAUACCGCAUACGAUCUACGGAUGAAAGCCGGGGACCGCAAGGCCUUGCGCGGACGGAGCGGCCGAUGGCAGAUUAGGUAGUUGGUGGGAUAAAAGCUUUCCAAGCCGACGAUCUGUAGCUGGUCUGAGAGGAUGAUCAGCCACACUGGGACUGAGACACGGCCCAGACUCCUACGGGAGGAAGCAGUGGGGAAUUUUGGACAAUGGGCGCAAGCCUGAUCCAGCCAUGCCGCGUGCAGGAUGAAGGCCUUCGGGUUGUAAACUGCUUUUGUACGGAACGAAAAGCCUUCUUUUAAUACAGGAGGGUCAUGACGGUACCGUAAGAAUAAGCACCGGCUAACUACGUG
This 482-nucleotide ribosomal RNA is filed under the name uncultured bacterium. Its description in RNAcentral is "partial 16S ribosomal RNA". It matches the Rfam family "Bacterial small subunit ribosomal RNA", at positions 30 to 507 of the family's 1533-position model. The record is from RNAcentral.